Molecule: ribosomal RNA, 253 nt
Filed under: uncultured bacterium
Lineage: Bacteria
Description: partial 16S ribosomal RNA
Rfam family: Bacterial small subunit ribosomal RNA
Source: RNAcentral
UACGUAGGGUGCAAGCGUUAAUCGGAAUUACUGGGCGUAAAGCGUGCGCAGGCGGUUAUGUAAGACAGGUGUGAAAUCCCUCGGCUUAACCGAGGAACUGCCCUCCAAACUGCUUUGCUUGAGGCCGGGAGAGGUGAGUGGAAUUCCCAGUGUAGCGGUGAAAUGCGUAGAUAUUGGGAGGAACACCAGUGGCGAAGGCGGCUCACUGGACCGGUUCUGACGCUGAUGCGCGAAAGCGUGGGGAGCAAACGGG